This 469-nucleotide ribosomal RNA is filed under the name uncultured bacterium. RNAcentral describes it as "partial 16S ribosomal RNA". It matches the Rfam family "Bacterial small subunit ribosomal RNA", at positions 28 to 507 of the family's 1533-position model. The record is from RNAcentral.
GACGAACGCUGGCGGCGUGCUUAACACAUGCAAGUCGAACGGAAAGGCCCUGCUUGCAGGGUGCUCGAGUGGCGAACGGGUGAGUAACACGUGGGUGAUCUGCCCCUUACUUUGGGAUAAGCCUGGGAAACUGGGUCUAAUACUGGAUAGGACCAUGCUGUAGGUGGUGUGGUGGAAAGAUUAGUUUCGGUAAGGGAUGAGCUCGCGGCCUAUCAGCUUGUUGGUGGGGUAAUGGCCUACCAAGGCGUCGACGGGUAGCCGGCCUGAGAGGGUGGACGGCCACAUUGGGACUGAGAUACGGCCCAGACUCCUACGGGAGGCAGCAGUGGGGAAUAUUGCACCAUGGGCGCAAGCCUGAUGCAGCGACGCCGCGUGGGGGGUGACGGCCUUCGGGUUGUAAACUCCUUUCAGCCAUGACGAAGCCCUUGUGGUGACGGUAGUGGUAGAAGAAGCACCGGCUAACUACGUG